Phyllostomus discolor (pale spear-nosed bat) is the source of this 1478-nucleotide long non-coding RNA. RefSeq lists it as uncharacterized. The transcript has 2 exons. The record is from RefSeq and is a predicted model, not a curated record. Lineage: Eukaryota; Metazoa; Chordata; Mammalia; Chiroptera; Phyllostomidae.
UAGGGGGAGAUGGAGAGGGUCGAGGAUGGAGAAAGGUAAUGGGAGAGACGGAGGCGAUGGGUGAGAAGCCAUCUCUCAUUUUGGGGGUAGGAGAGGGGUUGUAUCUAGGCCAUCUGUGCCCCCCUUCUGUCUUUCAAUUUAGUUUUGAGGUCAUAACUUCCACUGCUCCUUUCUGCUUCUCACAGCAAGGCGCACACAGCUUUCGCCAGCAGACCCAAUCUCCUGUACUCCUUGGCAUAUGGCUUUGCCUCUCUGAGCUAGUCCUGUGUGUAUGCAUGGGUACACAUACAACACUGUUUAACAUGUGCUCAGUUCAACAAUUGUGUAAGCACAUGUAGGAUGACAUGUUCCACUCUGCCAUUCCUUCAGUGGUGAAGGGGUGCCCUAGCCUUUCUGGGAAUCUCAGGACUUUUUUUAGGGCUGAGAAAGAAGGCCCACCUGCAUUUUACCCCACUGACAACCCCCAUCUGAUAGUGUCUCUGUAUUUCCCCACUGGAUGUCCUGGAUGUCGCCAUCCCAGCCAGUGUCACCUGUCUGUCUAUCACUCCCAAUGAUGCUAUCCUUGCACUACCUGGCUGAUGCUAAGCCAUUCUGUACUUCCCUUACUGCCUCAACCUCCCCCCUGCUGUCCAUGUUGUUGGCAGGAGGCAGAGGCUGAAACUGGAAGAAGGAAAGGAAGUGAUAUAGAGAGAGAACUGUGUAUGAGAGAGAACUGUGUGUAGAGUUGAGACCUGCAAUGGCCUGAAAAGUUCCCAGGGUUGUGGCCUCGACCUGCCAUCCUCGCCUGAGGUCAAUGGGGAGGUAAAGUGGGAGGCACAGGUCUAUGAUAGCUGGAGUAAGUGGUGUGUGGGAUGGGGAGGGGGAAGGACCAAGAGGAAGGGAGGGAUGUAUCGAUACUUUCUUCCACCUGGGUGAAUGAGCUGAGGUGCCCUGGGAGAGGGAGGGGAUGAAUCAACCCCUCAUUUCCAGAAGCUCAGUUUGGGAAUAUGUACUUGAUCCCUUUUCCCCCUUUGUUUAUUGGGCUCCUUUGAGUUCCUGGACCCAUUGGUGUUCAGAUUCAUUUCUUAAAUCCCCCUGACCCCACCCUGGCUGGGUAGAUCAGUAGAUUAGAGCACCAUCCUGAUAUGUCAAUAUUGCCUGGUCAGGGCGCAUACAAGAAUCAACAAACAGCCCACUCGCAGCCGCUGCCACCCAGAGGUGGCUGCGCUGCUCCCUGCUCACAGCCUCUGUGCGCUUUACUCUGACAUGGCAAAAAUGUCCAGUCCUACAGAGACUGAGCAGUGCACCGAGCCUCUGCUGUUUUCUGGAGGUAUGUUGAAAAGGACAGUAACAGCUCUAUACUUUCCAAGACUGAGUUCCUAACCUUCAUGAAUACAGAACUGGCUGCCUUUGCAAAGAACCAGAAGGAACCCGGUGUCCUUGACCGCAUGAUGAAGAAAUUGGAUGUGAACAGUGAUGGGCAGCUAGAUUUCCAAGAA